GCUUACGGCCAUACCAACCUGGCGAUGCCCGAUCUCGUCUGAUCUCAGAAGCUAAGCAGGUUUGGGCCUGGUUAGUACUUGGAUGGGAGACCGCCUGGGAAUACCAGGUGCUGUAAGCU
RNAcentral lists this ribosomal RNA (119 nucleotides) under Carassius auratus (goldfish). The record is from RNAcentral. Lineage: Eukaryota; Metazoa; Chordata; Actinopteri; Cypriniformes; Cyprinidae.